This 73-nucleotide transfer RNA is filed under the name Pteropus alecto (black flying fox). It matches the Rfam family "tRNA". From Rfam's summary of the family: Transfer RNA (tRNA) molecules are approximately 80 nucleotides in length. Their secondary structure includes four short double-helical elements and three loops (D, anti-codon, and T loops). Lineage: Eukaryota; Metazoa; Chordata; Mammalia; Chiroptera; Pteropodidae. The record is from Rfam by way of RNAcentral. RNAcentral also lists the same sequence under 1 other name.
GUUUCCUUAGUGUAGCAGUUAGCACAUCUGUUUUACAUGCAGAAAGUUCUGGGUUUGUGUCCCAGUGGAGCCA